Molecule: long non-coding RNA, 654 nt
Filed under: Ursus maritimus (polar bear)
Lineage: Eukaryota; Metazoa; Chordata; Mammalia; Carnivora; Ursidae
Description: lncRNA (ENSUMAG00000023346.1)
Source: RNAcentral
UUACUUCCCUCUUCAAAAGACUAAGCUUGACUUGAAGGUAGAGUUAAGAAACAUUAGAAAUUGAGAUUUGAGAGUUAACAGGUUUAGACUUCAGAGAGUUCAAUCUCAAGUUCACUUUAAGAAUUAAGUGGAAUUAAGAUUGAAGCAUGUUCAUGUCCACGUUCUUCCGAGGAAGGCUGGAGACUUCCACAGGAAUGACAGCAUCUAUGAUGAGCUCCAGAGACAUGACAAAGCGGAGGAGGACACCCCAGCCUUGUGGAGGUCCGAGGAGGAAAUGGCAGCAGAAGCCGCAACCCUACGGGCCUACUUUCAGUGACUGUGCAGUCACUUCCAGGCACGAAAGUAACUUGAACAAAUCCCAAGGCAUAAGGAAAUGGGCCUCGUUCUCUAGGACUCCGCGGCAUUGGAAAUGAAGCUAAGCAGACUUUAUUACAUCCUACAAUUCUGCAACCUUUUGCGAAGCAUUUUAUUACACUUGUGGAAGCCAUCGGGGUUAUGUUUCAAUCAUGAUGACUGACAGGCUAACUUCAAAAUAACAGCAUCGACAGCCCUUCCACACUUCCUGGGCUAUGUACUUAGAAUAGAACCUUGUCUAAAUUGUCCCUUGGCCUGGAUGAAAAUAAAAUGGUAGUUAAAAUAUUUAUCUUGUGUGUU